Molecule: ribosomal RNA, 487 nt
Filed under: uncultured bacterium
Lineage: Bacteria
Description: bacterial SSU rRNA
Rfam family: Bacterial small subunit ribosomal RNA
Source: RNAcentral
GAUGAACGCUAGCUACAGGCUUAACACAUGCAAGUCGAGGGGCAGCACAGUGUAGCAAUACACGGGUGGCGACCGGCGCACGGGUGCGUAACGCGUAUCCAACCUUCCCGUUACUCCGGGAUAGCCUUCCGAAAGGGAGAUUAAUACCGGAUGGUGUUUGAAGUCCGCAUGAAAUUCAAACUAAAGAUUUAUCGGUAACGGAUGGGGAUGCGUACCAUUAGAUAGUAGGCGGGGUAACGGCCCACCAAGGCUACGAUGUCUAGGGGUUCUGAGAGGAAGGUCCCCCACACUGGAACUGAGACACGGUCCAGACUCCUACGGGAGGCAGCAGUGAGGAAUAUUGGUCAAUGGUCGGAAGACUGAACCAGCCAAGUAGCGUGAAGGAUGAAGGUUCUAUGGAUUGUAAACUUCUUUUAUACGGGAAUAAAACCACCUACGUGUAGGUGCUUAGUNUGUACCGUAUGAAUAAGCAUCGGCUAACUCCGUG